RNAcentral lists this long non-coding RNA (26827 nucleotides) under Lactuca sativa (garden lettuce). RNAcentral's name for it is "long non-coding RNA (LSAT_LNC001914)". Lineage: Eukaryota; Viridiplantae; Streptophyta; Magnoliopsida; Asterales; Asteraceae. The record is from RNAcentral.
UUGCUAUCGAGCAUCCAAAAGUGUUACGGUGACUUCAUUGACAGAAUCCAAUGUUGGCGCCGAUGACAUAGAGUUGAUUUCUGUCACAAACCUCUCUUCUGCAAAAAAUGCAGGUUGCUUAGGUGGAGGCAAAUAGUUCUCAUUACCCAACAUAAGAACCACUGACGACAUCGUGGGCCUAUCUUCUGCAUGAUGUUGCACGCAUAACAAACCAAUAUGCACUGCCCGUAGUACUUGAGAGGCGACACAUGAGUCUCGCAGAGAUGAGCUAACUAGCUCAACCGACUUUCCAUCUUUGUGGAGUUUCCAUGCCUAAGUAAUUUCAAAGUAGGAAGUUAUUAGCAUAAUCUAGGGAGCUAAUAAGCCUUAAGGCUACAAAUAACUUCUAUCAUGCAUGGUUUAAAGUUAGUUGAUCAAGCGAUUAAUGGGCUAGACUAUAACUUGGGUGGGUGUUUCAGAAUAUAUAGGCCUUGCCUCAGGUUCUUAUUUACUUACAUGUCCAAUAAGGGUGUCGUUGUAAUCUUGUUGAGAGAAUCCUCUGUUUUUCUUCCCGCUCACCAUUUCCAACACUAAAACACCAAAGCUAUACACAUCCGACUUUACUGAGAAAAGGCCAUGCACUGCAUACUCCGGAGAGAUGUAACCACUGAAAUGUAGUUUCACAACUUCAUUGAUAUAUGAGAAUUUUAAAUGAAACUAAUAUAAUCAAAUGAGAAUAGUAUUCUUACUAAGUUCCAACCACUUUGUUCGUGUUAGCUUCAGUCUCAUAUCCGCUAAACUUUCUAGCAAGGCCAAAAUCUGAUAUCUUGGGAUUCAUGUCCUUGUCCAGCAAUAUAUUGCCAGCCUUCAGAUCUCUAUGGACGAUUCGUAGUCGUGAAUCUUGAUGCAAAUAAAGAAGUCCUCGAGCAAUCCCAUUGAUAAUAUGAAAACGAAGAGGCCAAUCAAGCAUGAGGCUUCUAGAUGCAUCUGCCAGAUAAUAGUCACUAAAUUAGUUUAUAUACAAUUAUUAAUGAAGUGUACUAUAUAUCACAAGUGAAAUGUGUGCGUCAAACCAAAUAUAAAGAAGUCAAGGCUUUUGUUCUCCAUGUAUUCAUAUAUUAACAUUCUUUCAUCUCCUUGGAUGCAGUAUCCGAGAAGCUUUACAAGAUUUCGAUGCUGAAGCUUGGCAAUACAUCCAACUUCAUUCUUGAAUUCAUCAACACCCUGUGACGAAGUUGCUGAGAGUCGUUUCACAGCUAUUUCUCGUCCAUCUUCAAACACACCCUAAAGAUUCAGGUUACGGAUAUAUUAUUAGCUAUCUUUCAUAUGUAAAUAUUAAUUAAUGUUUUUCACAUAAAGAGGGAAUGUAUUUCAUUACCUUGUAAACUGGACCAAAUCCACCUUCACCAAGCUUAUUGUCGAGAGCAAAGUUGUUAGUUGACUUAGCAAUCAUGGACAGGCUAAAGGCCGACAACUCUGUAUCUUUAUUCCUAUCAUCAUCAUUGGUAUACUUCUCCUCACGUGCUUGCAUCAAAACUACAAGUUCAGAUAUAUAAUUAGCGUGUCUGCUAAUUUCUAGUAAAAAAAGAAUUUGGUUGGGGUACCUUGUCUUCUCUGGCGAGAUCUUUUUUUCUUUCUCCAUGCUACAUAUAGUGCUAUAACCAGACAUACAAGAAAUGAAGCAAGUGAAGCUGACACAGCUAUGGUGAUCGUUGGUUUCUUCUUUCGAGACCCUGAGCCAUAUUCUGGGGAAGUAGAACCUUUAUACAAUCCAAAUGAAUGACAAAUGAUCGUCAGGAUGUUAUUUUGUAGAUAUACAGAUGAAAUCGGAAUCAUAUAUAUACAACUACGUACAAUUAAUUAAGGGUUUAAUAAGAGAGAUGGAGAUGGAGAAGAGAAGCCUUACUUGGUAGUUCGGAAGCAGGCAUUCUUAAGUGAAGUUCUUGUGUUUCAUCAUACACCCGAAUAUCCAUUAGAUCACCGAACCAUAGCAAGCAUCCGCUUCCACCAUCUCUGAUAUCUAAACUUGCAUAAGCUGUACAAGAGCAAUUCUCUAUGCAAGUCGUUUCACAUUCACCAAGUGUCAUGCUCAAAUCAUACACUGAACGAUUUGUAUCUGGGAAUUUUACACCUGAAAGUGUACGAAAUCCAUCCCCAUUCCCGCAAGCUAAUGGUGUUAUCCUUUGACACCCACUUGACCAAUCUGCUAAAUUCCAUUCUUCAGUGCUACGUGGUUCAAAACCAUCUAGGCAACUACAAGCAGGGGCAUUGCUAAUGUCGCAGUUUGCAUAUGAACCACAUGUAGCAUAACGUGCACAAGCAUCAACACUACUUGCAGUCGAAUAGGUAGUCCAAUUUUGUGUGCGAUUGACCCAAAUCAAGUCUUCCAUUUUGCCAUCCGCACUCAAAUGCAUCCUCGAAAUAAGCGAGUUGUUCACAAGUGCAUAUUCAUAGUAUAUCUCAUUCUCAUUGAAAACAAACUGGUGUGUGAAUAUUGAAUUUUCGCCUAAAUUAGGCAUGCCAUUGAAUGUAACACCAUUCCAUGGUCCGAAUCUCGACACUGGAACCAUAUUAUGCCUCUCAAAAAGUUGUGGGUACCCAUUUGUAUCCACCCGAAAGACAUACUGACCUGCAGAAGGAGAAGGGUCAUCAUCGCUCUUCCAUGACCUCAAGUAUGUUUCUUUUCCUGUCACCAAAUCCACGCCGAUUCUCAUUCCUGAGAGAAGGGUGUCUACAGGAUAAUCAAAACUUUGCCAUAUUAUACUUCCCUGAUCCCUCAGAACAAGAUUUCCAGUAUCCAAAAGCUGUGCCACCAAAUCGCUACCCCUGUCAGAUGCGGAUGAAUUUGAUGACCAGAUUACUGAGUUGUUACCACUGAGAAUUUGGAGUGCACCCUGGCUAAUUCUGAGCACACCAGACGUAUCAUUCAAUGGAUUCUCUGUGUUAGCAACCCACACCACCGUACGUGUUGAUAUCAUCUUGUACCAUAUCCCUACGUACCGAUUAUUUGAUGUGCCAGGUCUGAAGAACCCCAUUUCAAAGAUUUCACCAGCUGAAACAAUGGUGACACCAUCUGUGAUGGUUUGAUUUGCUGAUAUGGUGUCUACUGCUGCUGCAAAAGUUAUCAAAAUUGAGAUUAGAAGAGUACCAAAGCAUAAGAAGAGUAUGGUAAGCUUCUCCAUGAUUGAGAUCAUAUGUGGGUUAUGUGUGGGUUUAAGCCAUAAACGACAUGGGUCAAUAGAAACAAACUUUAGACCGAGGCAAAAUUCAAAGACGACGGUCCCACUUGAGAGAAUUAGCAACUGUUCCAAGUAACGCCAUUUUUCGACAACACCCACUUGGGACUUGAUACUUGAUACAAAAUGGUAAAAGAUUUAGGCAUUUAGCGCGAUCGACUUGUCACGGAAGUUAUAAUGAUUAAAACCAGAAGAUCCCAAGUAGCCAGAAAGAUAACAUAUAAAUACUCGGUCACGAUGGCCUGAGUGUGACGCGCGGGACUUGUGGGAACCUUGAUUAGUCAAUGAGUGGGCCCAAACAACCAUUGAUAGAAAAUAUCGAAUGUAUGGCGCAUGUUGUUUGUUUCGUUACGUUACGAUCUGAAAUAAAUAAUAUCAUAAAUUACCUGUUCGGUCACUGUUAGCCCGGCCCAUAGGGUGUCAUCCUGGGCCACCGCUUUAUUAUUGAUCACUUGAGGAGGCGGGAGCCGAGCGGAAUCGUUUGAAAUUCGAAACGUAAUUUUCGCAAUGGAAUUGUGCAAUCAUGUCGUAUGCAAUUCAUGAUCUUUGUUUCGAGUAUAUAAGCAGGUAUGCAUCUUUUUCUGAUUGAGCUUUGUACUGUGUAUUGAUGUUUGUAUGAAUCUUGAGUGCUUUAUAUGUGUUUUCAAUAUUUGAUUGGUGUUGCCUAUAAAAAUAUACUUAAAGUUAUAAACUUAUGUGUAUUAUUGUGUUUAGCACUUUAGCUAAUGUAUGUCCUCUCUUGUAAAUAGUUAAUGUGUAUUCUCUCUUGUAAAUUGCUUUUUUUUGUGUGUGUGUAAUGUACGAUUUCAAAACUUUCAUAGAUUUUAGAGAAAUUAAAUUGAUUUCUACGUUUUAUCCUUACAAAUAUUCCUAUUCAUUAACAUUAUUAUAAGUGUCAACAUUCCAUAUUUUUUUAAUCAUCUCAUUAAAAGUAUAUUAUGAAUAUAUCAAAUAAAAUAAAAUUGAAUGGUGAAAUAAUGACAUGUGUAAUCAUAUUAGUAGGUAUGAAUAUUUGUAAGCAUAAAAAAUAGAAGGUAAUCUAAUUUUAUAGAUUUUAUGUGGACAUACUAUUUUUUUGGUUCAUUCCAUAUCAUCAAAUAAAUAAUUAAUCCCAACAGACUAUUGAAAGUAAAGUCUUAUUUAAACACUUGGAUUAUGCAACAAAACAUAUUUAGGGCCCAUAGAUUCUACAUUAUUUUUGUUGAUGCGUCUUUAACAUAUGCAUGUAGAAAAGAAAAUCAAGUACUUAUGAUCACAAAAUGGAUCUUAACAUGAACAGAUAUACAUAUAUUAUCGAGGUUCUAAUGUUGUCAUCGUGAUGUCAUUUCCAGAAACUAGAUAACAUUGAGGCACCUUCCCUUUGGCAAAAAAUGCAGGUUGUUUAGGUUGAGAUAAUGCACCUUCUUCACCAAACAUCAAAACCACAGAUGACAUAGUUGGUCUGUCAUUUGCAUGAUGUUGUACACAUAAAAGACCGAUAUGUAUUGACCGAAGUACUUCGGAGGCUACACAUGAGUUACGCAUAUGCGCACCAAGCAACUCCAUAGCCUUACCUUCUUCAAAGAGUCUCCAUGCCUAAAAAAACCAUAAUACCCCCAACAAAAUUAAAUUAAAUGUAUAUAGAUAAAUGAUAUUUCAAAAAUAUUUAAGAAAAUAAUCGUAUUAGUGGAAAUCCUUUCCAUGUUGAGUUCAAUAAGUAAAGAACUUACAUGUGCAAGAAGAUUAUCGCUAUCAUUUUCAUGAGAAAAUCCUUGAUUUUUCUUCCCACUUACUAUUUCCAGCACAAGAACACCAAAACUGAAGACAUCUGAUUUUUCGGAGAAAAUCCCAUCUAGAGCAUACUCUGGUGAUAAAUAACCCCUGUAAGAAAAUUCGUGAUUGUGAUGAUUUAAAAAUUNNNNNNNNNNNNNNNNNNNNNNNNNNNNNNNNNNNNNAUAUAUAUAUAUAUAUAUAUGUGUGUGUGUGUGUGUGUGUGUGUGUGUGUGUGUAUAAAGAAAGUUUCCUGGUUAACUAAUGGAUUCUAAUUACAAAGUUCCAACUAUGUUGUUCGUAUUUGCUUCGUUUUCAUGUUCUGUGAACAUUCUUGCGAGACCAAAAUCAGAUAUCUUAGGAUUCAUGUCAACAUCCAGCAAAAUGUUGCUUGCUUUAAGAUCUCGAUGUACAAUUUUAAAUCGUGAAUCUUGAUGAAGAUAAAGGAGUCCUCGAGCAAUCCCAUGAAGGAUGUGAAAGCGAUCUGACCAACCUAGUACCGAACUUUUGAUUUUAUCUGCCCAAUAUAAGUUAUCAGUAUAUGAUUUACUUUAAGAAAAAAUGGAUAGCAAGCAAGGAGAAGAGGAAUUAAUUUAAUGUAUCAUAGAAAGUAGAGCUAUACCAAAUAUGAAUAAGUCCAGACUUUUGUUAGGCAUGUAUUCAUAAAUCAACAUGCUUUCAUUCCUUUGGAUGCAGUAUCCCAAAAGCUUUACAAGAUUCCGAUGUUGAAGUUUAGCAAUGAAUUUAAGUUCAUUCUUGAACUCUCCAAGACCUUGUCUUGAUGUUUUGGACAACCUUUUCACAGCUAUUUCUUGUCCGUCAUCCAGCACACCCUAAAGAUUGGAAUAUAUAUUUUUAUGUACUUCAAGAAGUAUAAUCUGUUUUGCAAUUAUGAACAAUAAAUAGAACAAUGGUUGGUUAAUUUGGCUACCUUGUAAACCGAACCAAAACCACCUUCUCCAAGCUUUUUGUCAUUUGCAAAAUUGUUAGUAGACUUGGAUAUCUUAGUCAGGCUGAAAGAUGAUAACCCUGUAUCAUCGUCUUGGCUUUCCAUGAUAUACUUUUCAUCAUCGGUUUCUGCCGUUUUAUCUGCAAAUGAUAGCAAACCAAACUAAUAUGAGUUAAUGAACGAUUUGUGUUUAAUAUUGUUAGUGAUCACUUUAUCAAAAGUAAUCAUUAGAAUUACCUCUGCAAAUGAUAGCAAACCAAACUAAUAUGAGUUAAUGAACGAUUUGUGUUUAAUAUUGUUAUAUUAGUGAUCACUAAUUUAUCAAAAGUAAUCAUUAGAAUUACCUGGUAAUUGUACUUGGGAUCUUUUCCUCUUGCUCCAAGUACCAUACAAGAUUGCUAAAAUCAAAAUAAAUAUAACAAGGAUAGAUAAAAUCGGUACCACCACUACGAUCUUUUGUCUCUUUUUGUUGGAAUCAGCUUGUUUGGAGGUCAAUUGCGGGAUUGAUGGAACUAGGAACAAAAUCAUAACAAGUAAUUAAUGGUGUUUAAAAACCCGAACUAACAUGAACAUUCAAAAAGGUGUCUUGCAUGGUUAUCUCUUUUUGAUUUAACAUUUGUAUAUUAAAGGCAAAUUAUAUAUGUAAAUAAUCUUACUUGUAAUAUUUAAGUCGGAGAUAGCCAUCCUUACGUAUAGAUCCUGGCUUUCAUCCACUGUUCUAAUAUCUAUUAGAUCAUCGAACCACAGCAAGCAUCCACUUCCGUUGAUUCUGAUAUCGAUAUUUGCAUAUGCUGUACACGAGCAAUUCCGCUUGCAUGCUGUCUCACAUUCGCCAAGUGUCAUGCUCUGAUUGUACCAUGAACGCCGAGUGUCUGGCAUUUUAACAUUUUUAAACACUCGAAAGCCAUCUCCAUUCGAACAACUUAAAGCAGUUCUACGGCGACACCCACUUGACCACUCGGAGGCACUCCAUUCGUCUGGGUUGCGUGGUUCGAACCCUUCCAUGCAGCUACAAGCCGGUGAGUUCUUGGGGUUGCAUCUUCCAUAUGAACCACAUUGUCCAAAACGGCUACACAUGUCAAUAUCCGCGUUCCAGUAUAGGAACCACAUCUGUGUUCUUUCAAUCCAGUUCAGUCGAAACGCGUCACCCUCUGGACUAAAGUAGACACGCGUCACCACUGAAGUGUUAACAAGUGUGUACCCGUAGUACACCUCCUUAUCAUCUAAAACAAAUUUGUGUGUGAAUAAUGAGUUUGAAGUAUGACUAGGCAUGCCAUUGAAAGUAAGACCGUUCCAUGGUCCAAACCUCAAGAAAGGAACAGGAUUUUGUACUUCUUUGAAGAACAACUGAGGAAACCCAUUCGUAUCCAUGAAUGCUACAUACUUUCCUGGUGAAGGAUCGUCAAGGCUCUUCCAUGAUGUCCACCGCCUAUCCCUCCCAGAGACCAAAUCCUUCCCAAAUUUCAUUCCGGCAAGAAAUGCAUCUCCAGGGUGAUCAAAACUUUGCCAAAUGAAACUUCCUUGGCCACUUUGAUCUCUAACAACAAGAUUUCCAGGGUUCAAAAGUUGUGCCACCGGAUUUAUGGUUGUGAGAGAUAUCGGGCCAGGGUUAGAUGACCAGACAGUGGUGUUGUUGCUACCUGCGAUAACCAAUAGGGAUCCGUUGAUGUCUACUCUGAAGACACCUGACAAAUCGGUUAUUGGUUUCUCCCUGUUAGCAACCCACACCACUGUCUGUGGGGAUUUGUUUUUGUACCAUAUCCCCAAAUACCGGUUCGUAGAGUUUCCAGGACUGAAAAAACCGAGUUCAUACAUUUCAUCAGCUGAAACAAGGGUAUCCCCGUCCUGGAUGGCUUCAUCGGCUGCUAUGGUGUCUUGUGCCCAACAAAUUCUCAGAUCAGACAUGAUCAGGAGGCCAAAAAUUAAGAAAUAAUGAAGGACCUUCAUUGAAGUUUUGUUUGGAGAUUUAAAUGUUAGUUCUUUUUUUCUUUGAACGGCUAACUGUUAAUUCAUUUGGAAUAUAUGCAUUUUUUUCAAAGAGUGUUAGAUCAGAAGAAGACACUAAGGGUUGACCUGGUGAGUGAUUCUCCAAGAUUUUGCUCCAGAAUUUGGACUUAGGCAGGAGCAUGCAUUUGGUCGACGGCACUAGCAUCAAACCCCACUUGCUAUGUCGAUCAUGACUGACUUUUUUGGAAUUCAAUUAAAUACAUUUUUUUUAACGACGGUUCCUCCACGGUUAAAGCUUUUAUGAAUCACUACUACAAAACAACCAUGGUACAGUACCGAUUGUUUUUUUUUUUUUUUUUUUUUUUUUUUUUUUAAUCUNCGCGUGUGUGGUAUGAUAUCAACUUCUUAAGGUUUGUACACAUUGAUACUGGACACAAAUAAUAUUUUAUUGAGGACAAGAUAUAUAAAAAGAAGAGAUAUCAGACAAUUUAAAGUUUGUCGUCUUGUUUAUUUUGAGGGCCAUGUACGAAAAAUAAAAUUGAGCCCCUACACAUAAUUCAUUUUAUAUAUAAGCAAAAUCCAUUAAUACUAUGAUAAGUCGAUAAUUGUUAAAAAAACAAUUAAAUAAACUAUAAUUGAACAUAAUUACAAGAAUCGCGAUGCUCUCAUAGCAGUUUUAGCGGUAAAGUUGUUCAUCAACUUUUCACAAUCAAUAUUCCCUAGCAUAUUGGUCUCAAUAACUAUUAUUUCCAAGUCAUUAAGUUUUUCUUGUGACAUUGUGGAGAUGAAGUACAAAUUUAACAACUUUAAUUUUGAGAAGCUAGUUUCUAUAGACGCAACAGUUGCUAGAAUAAUCAUCAAGACUCUAUUUGCAUUAAUAGCAUUAUUAAAAACCGACUUUUUUCAUAUAUUUUAAAACAUCGGUUGUGUUAGUAGUUUCAUUCGGUAAGAACUUGUUAACCAACUUUAACUCUAGAUAAAGUUAACUGGCGUCAAUAUCUGAUCAACCACCUACUUAAGUAUGGUAAGAACUCGUCAACCACCUAUAACAACUUGGCAAGUUUAAGAGAAGGAGUAGCAUCGUAGCGACUUAUGACUUGGAUUGGCAAAAUUAAGAUGUUGAAUCGACUUUGGCUUGAUGAUGAUACCUUUUAGUCAAUUUUGUUUUCAGACUUAAAUUACUAGUCUACUAUAACAAAUUGUAUGCAAAAAUUGGCCACCUCCACAACAUUGGUCAUGUGCGGUUGCCCACCUCGCAUACCCUCAAAGACGCCCAUGUUGAAUGAUUUAAUGCACAAACAAUUUUUGGAGAAAGGGAUUUCACCUUACACUAAAAAAUAAGACCAUUCCUAACACUGAAAAGAUUUCACAUUACACUAAAAAAUAAAAGCAUUCCUAUAAGACCAAAUAACCCAAAAAAGUGACCUUAUGCAUGGAGAUUAGGGAUUUGAAGUAAGUUCAAAAUUAUUAUCUCCACAAACAUUUAAAAAAAAUAAUAAAAAAAAAAAGUAAAAAAAAAUUAUCCUUUACUAAAGGUUUUAUUUGUUAUUUUUUAAUUUAUUAACUAAUAUUUUAGUUUUUAUGUUAAGUGUAGUCUCUGGUAACUUUAUAAUACAUAUAUUAAAUAAGUUGGUUGAUACAGUAUUACUAUGAUAUUCAAAAUUUUGUACCAUUGUCGUAUCAAGAUAACACAGUUGAUACUGCUGCCAACCAAACAUGUUGACAACCAAAUAUAUUGGCUACCAAUUUAAUUAAUUCAGUUCGUAAUAUGUUGGUUGGUUUUAUUUGGUAUAUAUUUGACAUCCUUUUAUUAUUUGCCAACCAAGCAUGUUGUUCUAACAUAUCACAUAAUCAAAUAACUGUAUGGUAUUUUGGGGUCAACUUACUAGCUCCGGCUAAUCAUACACCCUGCAUCCUCCUUUACUUAUUUUGAAAACCAUUUAAAAAAAAUCAUUUGAAAUUCUUUUCCCUGAUUUGAGACUGGAUUCACACGAAUGUUCUUCCAAUUCACUCAAACCAAGGCUCUGAUACCAUUUGUAGCAUCCCCCUCCGGCACGUAUCACAAUAUUGUCUGCUUUGGGCCACUCGUCACGAGGACUUCCCAAGGGGUCACCCAUCCCGAUACUACUCCCGCCCGAGCACGCUUAACUGCAGAGUUCUUAUGGGAUUUGCUGUCCUUACGACUUUAAAACGCGUUGUGUCAAGGAAGGUAUCCACACCCAUAAGCAGAUGUGGGAUCAGGUGCAACCCACCUUCACCCCCCAUUAUAGGGUUUGACGUCCCCGUCGAACACAUCGGCCCGUGCCCUAACUCUGAUACCAACUUGUAACACCCAUAAAAUUCAUACCAAAUUUAAACUUUCAAAAACAUGUAAAAUACCAAUAGUUAUUACAAAAGGUUUCCAAAAUAGUUUCAUAUCAGAGUUCCUAGAAAUCAUAAUCAUAAAUCGAGGGAGGUGUACGAUCACGCCUUCGCCUUCCCGCGGUCAUCCGCCGAACCUGAAACAAUAAUCGAUAAAUGUAAGCUCAAAAGCUUAGUGAGUUACCCCCAAAAUACCAACCUCAUAUAACCAUAACAUAUCAUACAACAAACAUAGAACAACCAUGUAUCUAGAGUCUACAGAGUGACUAGUCCACCCGCACCGGGCCUUCAGUCCACCUGAUCCACUAUCUGAGUCUUCAGUAUGACUAGACCGCCCGCACCGGGCCUUUAGUCUAUCUGGCCCACUCUCCGAGCCUCGGCACGUCUGGACCGCCCUCGCGGGGCCUUCAACCUAUCCGGACCGCUCACCGGGCCUUCGGCCUGACUAUGUCCCCUUCUGGGUCUGCAGUCUACCCGUUCCGCCCUAUGUAUGUUGGUCUACAACACGAAGCAGGACUCGCCUCAACCCAACCCCCAUACCAAUCAAUCAUGUGCACAUAACAGAUAAUUAUAUAACAGUCCAUAUAUAAACAAACCGAUCUAACAGAUCAUAUAACAUAACAAUAUCCUAACCAGGAUACCGACCUAAACUAGGUCACUAAACAUAGCAUCAUCCUAUAUACCAGGAUACCGACCUAAACCAUGUCACUCAACACAAUACCGUCCUAACUACCAGGAUGCGGAUCUAAUAGAUCAAUAAACAUAGCAAGCAAAUACCAAUACACACUUCGAGAAAAGGGCCGACCUUGGUGCCUUAGAUCCUGUCGAUAUAGUGAGGAUAACUCACCUCGAAAUGCCGAUCUGAAGAGAUGAGGUCAAAACUCCUGACCACCGCCACGAACACCACCGCCUAAAACUUCAUUGAAACCAUAACAAUCAGAGCUCAAGUUACCAAAAUACCCUUUGAAGUCAAACUGGUCAACUCUCGGUCAAAGUCACUGUCCUGGUCAAAGUCAACCUUCCCGUUUGACCCUACUCACCGAGUCAACCUAGGGACUCGCCGAGUUCGUGAACUCAAAAACCACACAAUUUGCGACCUGACUCGCCGAGUCACCCCAUGACUCGUCGAGCUCUUCAAUCCGAGUCCUAGCCUGUCUAACUCACUGAGUCCACUCAACUCUUUGAUCUGCAUUAUAACCAGAUGGGUUAGGGUUUGCGACCCAACUUGUCGAGUCCAAGAACAGACUCGCCGAGUCUAUUUAAGUCAUCCCUAUUCAGACGAUUUCAUACCAUCUCACUGCUUCCAACUCAUAGAUAUGGACUCCUAGGGCUAGUUUCACACGUAAAGUUUCCAACUUUACGUGCAUGCAAGGCAAUAUAGGCUCAACACAAGCUAGAAAGAAGGUUCAAGACAAGAAUGCUCUCAAAUGAGCAAAAAGGCUGAUACUUUAUGCCUCCAUGGACCAAAGAUAAGUCUAGAUCUGAAGUUGCAACCCCAGAUCUAGUCCCAAAACCCAAAAUAGAUUCCAAACAUGCUAAAAAAAACCCCAAAUCAUCAUCCAUGAAAAGAUAUAGGAGGGUAAAGCUCAAGGUAACGACUUGUUACCUCAGAAAUGUGCCCAAGAUGAAGUAGAUUCUAGAUCUACACGAGUUCCUUGAUGCUAGCCUCUUGAUCUACAAGUUUCCUUCACUAGAAUCACCUACCAAAGCUCAAAAACUCUCACCAAUGGCUCACACUCGAUUUUAGGGUUUAUUGACUCUCAAGGGUAACAAGGAGGUUGAGGGGAGGACAUAAGGUCCUUUAAAUAGGGUGCAAACCCUAAGAUUUAGGGUUUUCUCUUCCCAGCACUGAAUCGUCGAGUCCAACCGCCGACUCGGCGAGUCAGGUCACGUAUCACGUGCCCAACACACGUUCCGACUCAACGAGUUAAAGCUCCAACUCGCCGAGUCUACUUUUCCAUUUACACAUUACACCCCUAAACUCUUGCUUCCGAACUUGGGAUGUUACACUGAUUCUCGAUAACCAUGACGUGGUGAUCCCACCACGACCUAGUGAAUGGAAUCUUCACGAUUCUUGAUGCUGACUUGGAGAAUACGGGAUAUAGUAGAGUACCACAUUGCGGUGGAGGUCAACUGUAGCACCUGGUUCCUGGUAUGUAUUUCAUUCAAUUACCUUGCAUUUUGGCCUUGGACUCGGCGAGUUGAGGUCCAACUCGUCGAGUCGGAGCGUCUUGGACGUGGAAGUUUAAUGACCUACUCGACGAGUCGGCGGCCGGUCUCGGCGUGUAGGCGCUGUCCGGAGAAAACCUUACUUUGAGGGUUUGCACCCUAUUUAAACCACUUAUUCAGCCUCACUUUCAUCUCUAAUGCUUCCAGAACUCCCCAUAGCAAACCCUAGCCUUUUUUGAGAAGAAUUAAGGCAUUUUUGUGGAUCUUGCUAGUUGUGACCAUAAAGAGGAAGGUGAAAGACUUGGGGAAACAAGUGGAGACCAGGGGAACCCAAGUUUGUGCAUCAUCCAUAGUUCAUUGGAGGUAUAAAGCUGUUAUCUUGCCCUUUGAUUUGAUAGAUCCCUUUUUGAGGAGAUUUAGGGCUUUUAUAAGCCAUUUUUGGUGACCAACCAUGAUUGCAAGCAUGGUUGGGGGUUGAUGCUUCAGAAUUAGGUCAUUAAGGGAGUUACAAGGUAGUUAGGGGCUGCUUUUGUACCCAUGUAAGGUCCCAUGCAUCAUGAGGGCUUAUUUUAUGUCCUUUUAAGCUCAAAGUCCCAUGCAUGCAUGCAAAUUUUGUAACUUUACGUGAUAGAACGAUUGAAGUAGCUUAGAUCUAUCUUUUGGUCAAAGAGUUGUACGAUAGAAAUCGAGAAAUGAGACAUGGACAUACUCGACUCGACGAGUCGUUCUUAGGACUCGGCGAGUCCGAGGCGAGACUCCCCUUUUCUGUUGGAGAGUGACCCAACGUAUUGGACUUAGCCUUAGACCUGGAGUUCAUGGGACUUGACGAGUGCUAGAACAGACUUGGCGAGUCCAAGGUAAUCUCCUAUUAGUUGAAGAUGAACUCGACGAGUUGUUUAUACAACUCGUCGAGUCAAGGACAUGGCUUGUUCAUCAGAAGAAGGUGAACUCGACGAGUUGUUCAUACAACUCGGCGAGUCGGAUGAAGGUUCAUUCGUUGUUCAUAUAGAUGAAGAACUCGUCGAGUCGUUGCUAAACUCGACGAGCAGAGUCGUGGAUAAGGACAAGUAAAUGGUUAGGGACUCGACGAGUUGACAGCCCAACUCAGCGAGUCGGGUCAACGGGAAGUUGACUUUGACUUGGAUUUGGUUAGGGGUAAAAUAGUUAUUUUACCCUAAGAGUAGAUAUCAAAUUCUGACUGAGUGUUUUGUGGGGAUUAUAGCCAGAUGAUUUCCAGAGCAGUAGCAGAUAGAGGUCUCCCGCACAGCUUAUCAGCAGCUACUCGUACGAGGUAAGUUACCUUCCAGUAGCGGUGCGUCUAAGGCCAUAAUGUCGGCCCACCAGUAAGAGUCGUACGAUAGGUGAUUAUCUUUGUGAUAUUCACCUAGGAUUACUAUUACCUGAUAUGUUUAUAUGCUAGCACGAUAUGUGUUUAUGUAACAUCCAUAAAUUUUACGCCAAAUUUAAACUUUUCAAUCAUAAAUAAAAAUCAAAUAACAUUGUUUACAAAAUGUUUUCAAAUCAUUAUCCAUCAGAGUGUCCCAAAAAUCAUAACAUAAGGAUGAGGAGCAGUACGGUCACGCCUUCGCCUUUCCAUGAUCCCUUGAAGUACCUGAAACAAUAAACUGAAAACUAUAAGCCCGAGGACUUAGUGAGCUACCCCCAAAAUACCAAUACCACACUGACAAUACCAUAUCAGUAAUAAUCAAUCAAUUAACAUGCAUACUGGGUCAUCAGCCUGACUGGACCGCCCUACAGGGCCUACAGUCUAUCUGAAUCUAUCCCGAGCCUUCGACAUGACUGGUCCGCCACGUGGGCCUAUAGUCUCCCCGGACUGCUCAUAGGGUGUGUUGGCCUACCGCACAAAGCAUGAACGCCUCAACCCAACCAACAAGCAAAUACUAUGUACGCAUAACUAUCAUAUACUGGCAUAUAUAAACAUCAAGCAUAUCUAUCACUGGUCGUCAAUCAUAGAAUUCUAUCGUAACUAGACUACCGACCUAGGAGGUUACUAACUUACCAAUCCCUACGGAUCAUAAGAGCAUAGCAUACUGUCUACCCUGAUUCCGAUCUAACAGAUCAUAACCACAUAUAGCAUACCAUAACAAUAACAACUAAAGGGUCGGCCUUGGUGCCAUAGACCCUAUCAAUAUAGUGAGGACAACUCACCUCGCAGAUGUCGACUCGGAAGGUAAGCUCCAACUCUCGGAUCACUUGACACAGGCUCCACCACCUAUAGAACAAUAUGCUCGUAAGUCCUUGACCUUAUAAGGUACUCCAUAACCCACUAGUCAACCCCUGAUCAAAGUCAAAGUCCUCAGUCAAGGUCAACAGUCCAUGUUGACCUCGACUCGCAGAGUACCCUCGGCUACUCGCCGAGUUCCUUGAAGCACAUUCCAACUCACCGAGUCAUUAGGGUGACUCGUCGAGUUCCUUCGAUUCUCGAACAAACUUUAAGGCCACCCGUCGAGUUCCUACCUUGCAACUCGAUGGAUACACACAUAUACAUAUCCAGGAGAAAACUCAUCCGACUCGCCGAGUUGUUCUUCAACUCGCCGAGUCUAUGACAAUCAUAAUUGGACUCGCCGAGUUGUUCAUCCAACUCAUCGAGUUCACGGUCAUCUUCAUGUGACUCGCCGAGUCAACCUUGCGACUCGCCGAGUCCAUUCGGUCCUUUUCCCAUACAGACCUAUUUUGAUCCAUGCAGCGGCUCCAACUCACAGAUCCAAGCUUCUAGGGCAUGCUUAUCACGUAAAGUUGCAAACUUUACGUGCAUGCAUGGCUUUAAAUGCUCCAAAUGCCAAAUCUAAGCUCUUAAUGGGGCUUCAUGCCCAAGAGGGACCUCAAUCACGACCAAAACUGUAUCUUUAUGCUUCUAGAAUCCGAAGAGGGUCCAGAUUUGAAGUUACAACUUCAGAUCUAACCCAUAGCUCAUCAUACCAACUUGAUAUUCCAACAAAACCCUAAAACUCAACCAAUAGAGGAGAUAUAUAAGGAAAAUGACGAUUUAGGUACCUCUGGAAGAUGAUAUCUGAGAUGAAUGUUGAUUUCCACACUCUAAUUGCUCCAAUCCCUCCUCCUCCAAGUCUUCUCCUUCAAAAAAUCCUCUUUUCAAGCUUCAACACAUACACAAGUCACACACACACACACGAAUAAGGGCUCUCAAGGACUCCUUAGAACUGUAAAGAGGUCCAAGGGAGACUAAGGUCCCUUUAAAUAGGGGUACAAACCCCGGGAUUUAGGGUUUUAUCUGCCAGCUCCUACUCGCCGAGUCCCAAUAUGGACUCGUCGAGUACGUCACUGAACACGCGAUCCCACCCCACUGCUACUUGACGAGUAGGGAAAUCAACUCGUCGAGUAGAGCUUAACCCAAUACAUCUUAUUUAAAACAAUACCUGAUAAUCGGGGCAUUACAACUCUCCCCCACUUGAACUAGACUUCGCCCUCGAAGUCCGCUGGAAUAAACAAUGUCGGGUACUUCUCGCGCAUCUCCGCCUCCGGCUCCCAUGUCCACUCGGAUCCCCUCCGAUGUUCCCAUUGUACCUUUACCAAAGCUAUUUCCUUGUUCCGCAGAAUCUUCUUCUUCCUUUCCAAAAAAGCCACAGGCCUCUCCACAUAGUUCAGGCGAUCAUCGAACUGAAUGUCAUCCAACGAUACCACUGCCUCCUGAUCCAUAAUGCAUUUUCGCAAUUGCGAAACAUGAAACGUGCUGUGGAUCCGGCUGAGCUCCUCCGGAAGCUCUAGCCUAUAAGCCACCCUGCCGACCCUGGCAACAAUCCUGAAUGGCCCAAUGUAACGGGGGCCCAAAUUUCCCCUCUUCCUGAAGCGGAUCACACCCUUCUAGGGCGAGACUUUCAGGAGGACCAUGUCACCCACUUGAAAUUCCAGCUCAGAUCGGCGUUGGUCGGCAUAACUUUUCUGUCGGCUCUGAGUGGUCUGCAGUCGCUGUCUAAUCUGCUGUAUCAUUUCGGUAGUUUGCAGGACUAUCUCUGUCCGACCCAUUACCCUGUGCCCAACCUUGCCCCAGCAGACUGGGGUCCUACACUUCCGCCCAUACAACAGCUCAAAAGGCGGGGCGCCAAUACUAGAAUGAUAGCUGUUGUUGUAGGUGAACUCUGCAAGCGGUAGGUGGGAAUCCCAACUCCCACCGAAAUCAAUGACGUACGCCCUCAACAUAUCCUCGAGGUUCUGAAUGGUCCGCUCACUCUACCCAUCAGUCUGCAGAUGGAACGCCGUGCUAAAAUGCAGUCUCGUACCUACUUCCUCGUGGAACUUCUGCCAAAAACGAGAAGUAAAUCUGACAUCCCGAUCGGACACAAUGGAAACUGGGACCCCAUGGCGAGAGACAAUCUCACGGACGUACAGGGCGGCCAACUUCUCUACCGACGAACUCUCCCGUAUGGCUAGGAAAUGGGCGCUCUUGGUCAAUUGAUCCACGAUGACCCAUAUAGCAUCGAACCCCUUUGCCGUCUUCGGCAACUUCGUGAUGAAAUCCAUCGCGAUCCGCUCCCAUUUCCACAUGGGAAUCUCCAGAGGCUGCAACUUACCGUGCGGCCUCUGAUGUUCAGCCUUGACCAUCCUACAGGUCAAGCACUUCUCAACAAACCAAGUGAUAUCUUGCUUCAUACCAGGCCACUAAUAACUCAAACUUAAAUCAUGGUACAUCUUGGUGGCUCCCGGGUGAAUAGAAAACUGGGACUUAUGAGCCUCCUCCAUCACUGUCUGUCGGACCCCUCCGGUCAUCGGAACCCAAACCCGAACGUAACGGGUCAAGAAUCUGCGACUAUCCUGAACAAAACGGGCGCUUUCGCCCUUAAUCCUUUCCAACUUCUAGUUCUCCAGCCUCAUAACCUCAAUCUAAGCAUCCCUGACCAAACCCACCAGCGGGGAAUUCACCGCUAUCCUCAUACACUUGGCCAGGGUAGAGGACCCAGACUUGCGACUCAGAGCAUCCGCAACCACGUUCACUUUACCAGAAUUAUAAAGGAUCUCACAAUCAUAGUCCUUGACCACAUCCAGCCACCUGUGCUGCCUCAUGUUUAGGUUUGGCUGAUCCAUGAUAUGUCUAAAACUCUUGUGAUUUGUGUAUAUAGUACAACGGACCCCAUACAGAUAGUGCCUCCAAAUCUUGAGAGCGAAGACCACCGCUCCCAACUCAAGAUCGUGCGUGGGGUAUCUCAUCUCGUGCGGCUUCAGCUGCCUCGAUGCAUAAUCUAUCACUCGUCCCCUCUGCAUGAGGACUGUCCCCAAACCUGUGAUGGGCGCAUCACAAAGCACCACAAAAUCCUCAACUCCAUUGGGGAGUGUCAACACCGGCGCCUCGCAUAAACAUCGCCGCAGGGUCUCAAAUGCCCUUUGCUACUCAAGGCCCCACCGGAAAUCUACCCCCUUCCUCGUUAGACGAGUGAGGGGUACGACAAUCUUGGAGAAAUCAUGAAUGAAUCUCCGAUAAUACCCUGCUAAAAUCAAGAAACUCCUUAUGUCUGAGGGAGACUUCGGAGUCUCCUACUGCAUAACUGCCUCUACCUUGGCCGGAUCGACCAAAAUGCCCUCCUGGUUAACAAUAUGUCCGAGGAACUGGACCUCUCGCAACCAAAACUCACACUUCGAGAACUUGGCAUAAAGUCGUUCUCGUCGCAAAACCUCCAACAGCUCCCUGAGAUGCUCCUUAUGCUGCUCUCAGGUCUUGGAAUACACCAAGAUAUCAUCUAUAAACACAAUGACCGAGUGAUCCAGCAUCGGUCUGCAGAAUCGGUUCAUCAGAUCCAUGAACACUGUCGGCGCGUUGGUGAGCCCAAACGGCAUCACCACGAACUCUUAAUGACCAUAACGAGUCCGAAACGUGGUCUUCUCCACGUCUUCCUCCCUCACCCUUACCUGGUGAAAUCCUGAUCUCAAGUCAAUCUUGGAAAACCAAGAUGCACCCUGCAGCCGAUCGAAAAGAUCGUCUAUCCUCGGGAGCGGAUAACGGUUCUUCAAUGUUUAUUUGUUCAGCUCCCUGUAGUCAAUGCACAUCCUGUGCGAACCGUCCUUCUUCCUGACGAAAAGGAUUGGUGCUCCCCAGGGUGAACUACUCGCACGAAUAAACUGCUUACCCAGCAGCUCCUGUAACUGAGAUGAUAGCUCCUGCAUCUCAGGCGGUGCCAAUCGGUACGACGCCUUGGCGAUAGGGGCCACACCUGGCACUAGGUCAAUCCUGAACUCAACCUGCCUCUCCGGAGGCACUCCGUGUAACUCCUACGGAAACACAUCAACAAACUCCCUCACCACCAGGACCUCAGAAACUGAGUCGCUCUCUAACCCCCGUAUCUACCACAUACGCCAAAUAACCGGCACACCCGUGCUGAAUAUACUGUCGAGCCCUGGCUGCCGGACAAAACCCUGAUCCCAACCUGGUGCCCUCACCAUAAACUACAAGUUCUCCCCCACUUGGGGUUUGAACCACCACCCGCUGUCCCUCACAGUCGAUCAUGGCGCCAAACCGGCUAAGCCAAUCCAUCCCUACAAUCACGCAUACAUCCCCCAUGGGGAUAGGAAUCAAAUCUAUCGGGAAGGACACCCCGAAAAUCUCCAACUCGUAUCCCCGGAAGACCGCAGAAGCAGAAACCCCGUGCUCAUUGACGAUCGAAACUCGCAACGGGCACUCAAGAUCAUCUAUCGGCACACUGAACCCUCUAGAGAAGGGCUGAGAUACAAACGAUCGACUCGCCCCCGAGUCAAAUAAUACCAAAGCGGGCAAAGGAUUCACUAAAAACGUACCUAAUCACAGGUACAAUCAAUAAGCAUAACACAAAUACAAUAACUAAGACAGAGAAUAGAAACGUACCGGCAACCACAUCUAGUGCUGACUUGGCCUCCUCGGCCAUGAGUUGGAAGACGCGGCCCUGAGCCUUUGGAGGCUCCACCUCCAAUCCUCACAGUAGCUGACGCGGAAUCCUGCACAGUGGCGAGCUGCGGACAAUUGGUCUUCACAUGACCAACCUGAUGAUACUGGUAACCAAUCCUCAUAUCUGCUGGAGGGGCGGACUGAAGGCAGUCCCUGGCAUAGUGCCCCUCAUUGUUACAUUUGUGGCACCCACCUCCCGCUCGAUAAACCCCCGAAUGAGCCUUGCCGCACUUUCCACAAGUGUGGCUCUGAUGGCCCCCAGACUGUGUAUCAGCGAUCUUAGACCGCUUAGGCACCAGCUGAGAAUGUGCCGGUGCCUGACGCUGCUCCUUCAGCUGCAGCUCUAUCUCCCACUCACGCCGCCUCGCGGCUUCCUGAAGGUCAAGGAGGGUAUCACAACGUUGUGUAGCCACAAACUGCCGUAUAUCCGUCUUGAGCAUACUCAGAUAACGAGUCAUCUGAGACUGCUCUGACGCAACUCCGGGAAAAACAUAGCCCUCUCAGUGAACAUCCGGGUGAUCUCCAUCACAGACUCCCCAUCCUUUCUCAAUGUCAAAAACUCCUGAGCAAGCCGCUCCCGUUCCACGUGCAGAAUGUAGCGGGUGCGAAACAUAUCCCGGAACUGCUCCCAAGUAAUAGCAGCCUGCUGAUCAUCAGAAUAUGAACUUGUCGUCAAUCUCCACCAGUCCUUUGCCCCGAGCCUAAGCAGGUUCAUAGCACACUUGACCUUCUGGUCAGCAGGACAUGAGCACGUGAAGAAACAACCCUGCACGUCAGCAACCACCGCAUAGCCCUGAUCGCAUCCUGUGUACCAUCAAAUGUCGGGGGCUUCGUAUUAUCGAAGUCCCGGUACUGGAAAGCCCUGUCGGCUCCUCCUCCAACCCCUACCGCAGUUACAGCCGAAGUGGCUGCAACGGNNNNNNNNNNNNNNNNNNNNNNNNNNNNNNNNNNNNNNNNNNNNNNNNNNNNNNNNNNNNNNNNNNNNNNNNNNNNNNNNNNNNNNNNNNNNNNNNNNNNNNNNNNNNNNNNNNNNNNNNNNNNNNNNNNNNNNNNNNNNNNNNNNNNNNNNNNNNNNNNNNNNUAUAUAUAUAUAUAUAUAAGUCAUCAGAUAAAUAACAUAAUGUCAGGAGACCAAAACACACAAACCCUAGGGGUUGUGAUUUCCUCGCUACGCGUAUGGAUCCUGUGCUUUCAGUAGUACGGGCCCACACUACCUUCCACACCUACCCAUAUUUGUCUCAAGUAUCACCACAACGCCCUAACAAUAUCAUCAACAUAGGAAAUACGCUCAAACCUCACUUCUAGGGGAAUACCAAAUAUCUUGCAUCUAGUCUCACAACUUAUCACGACCCACACAUCCAUGAAACUUCCAUCAUCCCCUGCAGCGCCAGUGUAUGCUAGCUGCACAUAACGUUGAACCCAAUAGACUUUCGAAUAUCCAAUCCUACCCGAAGGCCGAAUCAACCUUCUCAGGCUAUAAGGUCUUUAUUAUGUACAACCGUGAUGCAUACACUAAACAUCUACAGUUAUGAUGUCAAUUCCACGCACAAGAAACCCUAGGUUAAUAGGCAUUAUGUAAUCAAGCAAAUCUAUCAUGCAAUUCCUGAAGAUCCCUAGCCUAGCACUAGCAUGUUGUUCUAACAUAUCAGAAUAUCAAAUAACUGCAUGGUAUUUUGGGGUUUACUUAUAGGCUCCGGCUGAUCGUACCCUCUGCAUCCUCCAUCCGACUCGCCGAGUUGUUCUUCAACUCGCCGAGUCUAUGGAAAUCAUCAUCGGACUCGCCGAGUUGUUCAUCCAACUCAUCGAGUUCACAGUCAUCUUCAUGUGACUCGUCGAGUCAACCUUGCGACUCGCUGAGUCCAUUCAGUCCUUUUCCCAUACAGACCUAUUUUGAGCCAUGCAGCGGCUCCAACUCACAGAUCCAAGCUUCUAGGGCAUGCUUAUCAAGUAAAGUUGCAAACUUUACGUCCAUGCAUGGCUUUAAAUGCUCCAAAUGCCAAAUCUAAGCUCUUAACGGGGCUUCAUGCCCAAGAGGGACCUCAAUCACGACCAAAACUAUAACUUUAUGCUUCUAGAAUCCGAAGAGGGUCCAGAUCUGAAGUUACAACUUCAGAUCUAGCCCAUAGCUCAUCAUACCAACUUGAUAUUCCAAGAAAACCCUAAAAAUCAACCAAUAGAGGAGAUAUAUAAGGAAAAUGACGGUUUAGGUACCUCUGGAAGAUGAUAUCUGAGAUGAAUGUUGAUUUCCACACUCUAAUUGCUCCAAUCCCCUCCUCCUCCAAGUCUUCUCCUUCCAAAAAUUCUCUUUUCAAGCUUCAACACAUACACAAGUCACACAGACGAAUAAGGGCUCUCAAGGACUCCUUAGAACUGUAAAGAGGUCCAAGGGAGACUAAGGUCCCUUUAAAUAGGGGUACAAACCCCCGGGAUUUAGGGUUUCAUAUGCCAGCUCCUACUCACCGAGUCCUAAUAUGGACUCGUCGAGUAGGUCACUUAACACGCGAUCCCACCCCACUGCUACUCGACAAGUAGGGCAAUUAACUCGUCGAGUAGAGCUUAACCCAAUACAUCUUAUUUAAAACAAUACCUGAGAAUCGGGGCGUUACAGUUUAUGUGGUAGUAGUAAGGUGAAAUAGUCCCCAGUAGUCGGGUGAAAUAGACAGACGGGUAUGUCAAGCACCCCAUAAUGGCUUGACCUGGGUAAGUCAGACACCCCAUAAUUGUCUGACAGUACAUUAUGUUAUGCUAUGUGUUUAUUUGGUAGUAGUAGGGGGUGAAAUAGUCCCAGGUAGUCGGGUGAAAUAGCCCGACGGGUACGUCAAGCACCCCAGAAUGGCUUGACCUGGGUACGUCAAACACCCCAGAAUGGUUUACCCUGGGUAAGUCAGGCGCCCUAGAAUUGUCUGACAGUAUAUUGUAUGGUAUGUGGUACGAUGGGGGAAUUCACAAAGCUUCGUGCUUACAGUUUUCAGUUUUGUUUCAGGUACCUCUCCAGCGAAGGGGAAGGAGCUGGCGCGGUAGGUGCACAUCAUGCACACACCUCAGAUUCUGUACUAUGAGAUUCAUUGGGAUUGUACUCUAACAUUAUCACUAUUUUACGAUUGGGUUUUCAGACAUUAUACAUUGUUUUAUGAGAUGUUAUGAUUCGACAAUAUUUUCCUACGAAUGUUUAAUUAAAUUAAUUAAUUAAAACGAAAUUUAUGGACGUAAAAAUUGGGUUGUUUCAUCAACCAUGAUGUGGUGACCAUAUUUUGGUAAUUAUAUAUAUUCCGAACAUUUGGUUGAUUCGAUAGGGUAGAUGGAUUAAGGAUGCAAUUAUUUACGAUGAAAGACCCUUCCUAGAACACUUGGAGGGCAUAAUUCGACUAUAUAUCAAAGGAUAAAAGAGAUUGGAGCAAGGAUUCACAUCUACGCAUUCGGUUUUCUUAUUUUAAUGAUGUUUAGCUUAGUUUACCUUUUGUUUAUGUGUUUUCUAGCUGUGAUUAUAGGCUAAUAACCCUUGCUUUUGUUUAGAUUAGAUGAACUUUUAAUUACUAUGUGUUGAUUUCUUGUUUAAUGGAUUGAUGAAGUUGGUUUUUGCUUUAAAUAUUGUUUGAUAAAUCUAAACCUAGCUUGUUAAAGUUCAUAUCUUUAUUUUAUCGUCUCAAGUUUUGUGUAAUUAAACUGCUGUUGAUUGCAUGAAAUUGAUUUACCUAGUUUUUUAUAAUCAUUAAAUUGCUAGAGAUAGGAUUGGCCAUAUCCUAGUAUAUGUGAUAAGUUAGUUGUUUAACUGUGUUAGAGAGCUGUAUUUGAUCAUAAUAUUUGUUCAAUUAUUAUACUUGCCCAAAGAAAAGUAAUCUGUAGAUUCUAUCAUUCAGAGUCUAAAUUACCUUUAAAAUUAAUUUAGUGUCCUUAACUUGCAUGAUCAUUGGGGUUAAAGUUGUUAAAUUCACUUAUGCUAGUCAGUCUGACCAUGAUGACUGGUUAAUUUUAUUUGGUAACUAACAGAAUUAAUCCAUUGUCUUGAAAUCAACCACAGGAAAAAGGAUGGAUUCGAAUCUAAAUAAGAGUAUCUUUUAUUCUUUGUUUUAAAUAAUCUUUGUAGUCAUUAAUUAGGUAUUUUAGUUUAAGUUUUUUCUAAACUUGUAAAAUUAGAUAAAAGCCACACUUUUAGUCGCUUUUAGUAGUUAUUUUAUUAAUUAAAUACCGUUCCCUGUGAUCGACACAUGAUUUACCCAAGCUAUUCCAUAAUCUUACUAGGUACACUGCCUAUAAAUGCAUAAUUUAGCUAAGUAGUUAAGUUUAUAAAAUUAAAGCUAGAUAGGUAUAUAAAGUGCACAUCCAUGCACGAUCUCAAAGUGGGAUACACAAACCAAAUCCCAAAUAUGCCCUUCACUCCAGUUCUAUUUCUCUGAUUCCUACUUCUCCUAAGUCAACUCUCCUUGACUGAAACUGUAAUUGUGCUAUGACCAAUGAAUUUAAUGCUUUACUUAAACAGAAUACAUUGUCAUUGGAUUUUUCGACAUAAAUUUAAGCCAGACAUGUCUCUUGAGCGGUACAAAGUUCGUUUGGUUGUUAAUGGUAAGUCACAAGAGUUUGGUGUGGACCAAUGUUGUAAAAAUCGUUUGGCGGUAGCUCGGCGGUCGACUAGCGAUAAACGAUUAAUCGGACUAGGCGGGGAUUAAUCGGAGAUUAAUCGAGGACCCUUAAUUCUUAAUAAAAUUAUUUAAAAAAUUAAUAUUCUCUAAAAAACUAAGUAUUUGAAAAUUUAAAAUUUCAAAAUUUCAAAAUUUUGAAAAUUUUAGUUUAAUUUUUUAAAAUUUGAAAGCUUAAAAAUUUGAAAAUUAUUUUUUUUUGAAUUUUUUAAAAAUUUCCGCCUAUGACCGCCGAGACCGCCAAGGGCCGCCAAGGCCGACUUUGACCGAUUUUGACCAAUUUCCGCCAAGCACCUUAAUCGUAAUUGGUUUAAGGCCGCCAAACGAUUAAUCGCCGAUUAAUCGGCCGCCAAGGCCGAUUUCUGCAACACCGGUGUGGACUAUGGCGAAACGUUUAGUCCUGUUGCCAAAUUUGCAACAAUCCGAACAGUUAUUAUUCUUGCAUUGAGUUAUCAUUGAUCUAUUCACCAACUUGACGUCCAAAACACUUUCCUCCAUGGGAAUCUCAAGGAAAUAGUCUACAUACAACAACCUCUAGGUUUUGUGGAUCCAAGUUUUCCUGGAUAUGUUUUUAAGUUACGUAAGUCGUUAUAUGGGUUGAAGCAAGCACCACAGGCUUGGUAUCAACGAUUUUCUCCCUACUUGUUGAGUAUCGGUUUUGUUUGCAGUAAGAGUGACAACUCUUUGUUUAAUUUUUGAAAAAUAAUGAAUAUGAUUAUCUACUUGUCUAUGUCGAUGGCAUAGUUUACGACUUCUUCCCCUCAGAUAAAGGUCCAAAUCAUAUCUUCCUUAAAAUCUGAUUUUCACAUGAAUGACCUCUAGUAAACUCACUUACUUCUUGGGUAAUCCAGUUAGCUACUCUAAAGCCAAUAUGUUUCUUUCACAACAAAAAUACGCAGGUGAUAUUCUCAAGAGAGCCAAAAUGGAAACCUAUAAAUCAGAUGCUACACCAACAAACACUAACUCUAAGCUCAAUAUUUUGGUUGGUGAUCUAGUUGCUGAUCCUAGUACCUAUUUCCAGUUAGUUGGUGCUCUAUAGUAUCUAGCUUUUACUAGACCCGACAUCGCCUAUGUUGUUCACCAAAUGUGUAUCUUCAUGUAUGCUCCACGGGAACCACACUUAAAUGCUUUAAAACACAUUCUUCGUUAUUUAAAAGGUACUCUUCAACUUGGCUUGCAUCUGUACUCUAGCAAGCCAUCUCAACUUAUUGAAUAUAUUGAUGCCGAUCGGGGGUGGUUGUCCCAACACACAUCCUUCGACAUCCCGAUAUUGUGUAUUCCUAGGUGAUAAUUUGAUUUCGUAGUCUAUUAAACGACAACCGACCUUGAUCCGUUCAAGUGUUGAAGCCGAAUACCUUGGGGUUGCUAAUGGUGUUGCUUAGGCUUGUUGGUUGCUUAAUCUUCUUUUCGCGCUUCAAACCCCUCUCAAGAUUGCUACUUUGGUUUAUUGUGAUAAUGUUUCCGCUCUCUACUUAUCUGGUAAUCCCGUACAAAACCAAUAUACGAAACAUAUUGAAAUGGACAUACACUUCGUCCGGGAGAAAGUUGCUCCUAGUCACAUCCGUGUUCUACAUAUCCCUUCUGCUUAUCAGUAUGCAAUCCGUGUUCUACAUAUCCCUUCUGCUUAUCAGUAUUCAGACAUUUUCAUCAAAGGAUUGCCUUGUCAACUCUUCUUGGACUUCAAAUCUAGUUUGAACAUACGUCCUCCUCCCGCUCCAGAGGGGGUCUAUUAGACGAGAUUAUUUCCUUGUUUAUUGUGUGUUAUAUUUGGCAUUGAUCCCUUUGUAUUUGUAUUUAUAUCCACACAAUAAUGAAUGAGAAGACAAGAAUUAAUUCAUAUUGUAUUAGAUUUCAUUAUGUUGAUAGAUUCCAUGCAUCAUUCGAGGAUGGGGACAAGCUUAGGCACUCGACGAUGGGGACACGGAUGGUUAACCCCGCCUCAUCCCACCCCAUUUCCAUCCUUAUGUGUAACUCCAUGGAUUUUAACUAUCAACUUUAAGGAGUUCCCACAUCGGUUUAACAAGGAAGGUCCACACUCCUCAUCUUUUAUAUAAUGAUUUUUGGAGGCUCUUAGGGUUGGGGUAUUCCUAACAUAACCAUUAUUUGGUUGGUGCCCAAAUAGCUAAUGUCAAAGUUUUCUAGUUUAAACCAAUAGGUUCGUUUUAUGCAUAAUCAUUUGGAACGAUAAUAUAUCUCCACUGCUUGCAUAAUCCGUAUAAAAAAACUUUUGUUGGAUAAACAGAUCAAGACUUUGUUCAAGAAUUGGGAUUGUUCCUGAACACAAAAGUGCAAGUUGCUAACAAUGGUGGAUGGACACAUUUCGUGGGGUUUGUUUUUUUAUUUCUUAUGCGGUUUUCGUGGUAGCAUUUUUAAAAAAAAUAUAUAUUUUUUGAAAAUAAUGGUUCAUGGAAACUAAAGUCACAGAUUCAGCUUUCUAGGGUUUGAACAAAUAAAUUACAACUGAUACACGAGGCAAUAGGGUCGAAAUCGCAGAUUUUGGAAAGUGUUUAUAUACAUUAUCCUUAAAUUAUCCAAGUCAGACUGAUAUUCGAAUCUCAAAAUUGCUAUGUAUGUAGGUUUUCGUAAUUACAUUUUCUUUACAUAUACAUGAUGCAUUAUAGAAUCAUAUAUAGUUGAAAAAAAAAAAGAAUACCAUAAUAAGGGAGGAAUUUACUUGCUAUCGAGCAUUCAUAAGUGUUACGGUGACUUCAUUGAUAGAAUCCAAUGUUGGGGCCGAUGACAAAGAGUUGAUUUCUGUCACAAACCUCUCUUCCGCAAAAAAUGCAGGUUGCUUAGGUGGAGGCAAAUAGUUCUCAUUACCCAGCAUAAGAACCACUGACGACAUCGUGGGCCUAUCUUCUGCAUGAUGUUGCACGCAUAACAAACCAAUAUGCACUGCCCGUAGUACUUGAGAGGC